RNAcentral lists this transfer RNA (23 nucleotides) under Agrostis capillaris (colonial bentgrass). RNAcentral describes it as "partial tRNA-Leu". Lineage: Eukaryota; Viridiplantae; Streptophyta; Magnoliopsida; Poales; Poaceae. The record is from RNAcentral.
AAAUCCGUCGACUUUAGAAGUCA